This 309-nucleotide ribosomal RNA is filed under the name uncultured bacterium. RNAcentral describes it as "bacterial SSU rRNA". It matches the Rfam family "Bacterial small subunit ribosomal RNA", at positions 28 to 334 of the family's 1533-position model. The record is from RNAcentral.
GAUGAACGCUAGCGGCAGGCCUAACACAUGCAAGUCGAGGGGUAACAUUGUGCUUGCACAGAUGACGACCGGCGCACGGGUGCGCACCGCGUAUGGAACCUACCUUUUACAGGGGGAUAGCCCAGGGAAACUUGGAUUAAUACCCCGUAGUACUAUUUAGUAGCAUUACCUAAUAGUUAAAGCCUUCGGGCGGUAAAAGAUGGCCAUGCGUCCCAUUAGCUAGAUGGCGAGGUAACGGCUCACCAUGGCAACGAUGGGUAGGGGCCCUGAGAGGGGGAUCCCCCACACUGGUACUGAGACACGGACCAG